RNAcentral lists this ribosomal RNA (435 nucleotides) under uncultured bacterium. RNAcentral describes it as "partial 16S ribosomal RNA". It matches the Rfam family "Bacterial small subunit ribosomal RNA", at positions 28 to 507 of the family's 1533-position model. The record is from RNAcentral.
GAUGAACGCUGGCGGUAUGCUUAACACAUGCAAGUCGAACGGACUCUUCGGAGUUAGUGGCGGACGGGUGAGUAACGCGUGAGAAUCUGGCUUUGGGUUCGGGACAACCACUGGAAACGGUGGCUAAUACCGGAUGUGCCGAGAGGUAAAAGAGAAAUUGCCUGAAGAUGAGCUCGCGUCUGAUUAGCUAGUUGGUGAGGUAAAGGCUCACCAAGGCAGCGAUCAGUAGCUGGUCUGAGAGGAUGACCAGCCACACUGGGACUGAGACACGGCCCAGACUCCUACGGGAGGCAGCAGUGGGGAAUUUUCCGCAAUGGGCGAAAGGCUGACGGAGCAAUACCGCGUGAGGGAAGGAGGCUCUUGGGGUGUAAACCUCUUUUCUUAGGGAAGAACAAAAUGACGGUACCUAAGGAAUCAGCAUCGGCUAACUCCGUG